Long non-coding RNA from Hippocampus comes (tiger tail seahorse), 924 nucleotides. RefSeq lists it as uncharacterized. Lineage: Eukaryota; Metazoa; Chordata; Actinopteri; Syngnathiformes; Syngnathidae. The record is from RefSeq and is a predicted model, not a curated record. The transcript has 2 exons.
AACAAGCAGUUAAAAUCACAAAUACAAUGUUAAAAACAACAUCAAACAAAAUAAGAUAAAAUAAAACAAAAUAAAGAUAAUGGCUUUAUGGUCCGAGUGAAUAAGCUUGUCUAAACAGAUGUGUUUUGAGGCUGGAUUUGAAAUGUGUUAAUGAGUCUGUAUUACGAAGGUCAGCGGGGAGUGUGUUCCAGAGCUGGGGAGCAGAGCGACUGAAGGCUCUGUUUCCCAUGGUGACGAGGCGAGCAGGGGGGACAGUGAGGAGGAGAGGGGAGGAAGAACGAAGAGAGCGGACAGGUGUAGGAAUAUGGAUCAGGUCAGAUAGGUAUGGAGGGGCAAAGUUAUGGAUGGCUUUGAAUGUAAGGAGCAGGAUUUUAUAUUGAAUGCGGUGUAUAAUGGGGAGCCAGUGGAGAUGUGGGAGGACUGGUGUAAUAUGGUUUAUGGAUGGUGUGAGCGUGAUAAUGCGAGCGGCUGAAUUUUGGACCAGCUGAAGUUUAUGGAGGGUUUUUUGAGGGAGACUGAGCAGGAGGGAGGUUACAGUAAUCAAGUCACGAGGUGACGAGGGUGUGAACAAGUAUAGCAGUGGAGUGAGGGGUGAGAGAAGAGUGGAGCCGGUGGAUGUUUCUAAGAUGAUAAUAUGCAGAACGAGUGAUGUGGUUGAUAUGUGAGGUGAAGGAGAGGGUGCUAUCAAGGAUGACACCCAGACUCUUGACCUGAGGGGAGGGAGAGAUGGAGGAGCUGUCAAAGGGAAUGGAGAAAUUGUUUAUUUUGUUUAGGGUGGAUUUGGUGCCACUGAGGAGGAGUUCAGUUUUAUUGCUGUUCAGUUUGAGGUGAACCAUGAUUUUAAUUCCUGCAGACAGUUGGUUAGGGAGGAUGGUGGAAGUAUGGUAUUUGGUUUGGUAGAGAUGUAGAGCUGGGUGUCAUCCG